This 67-nucleotide transfer RNA is filed under the name bovine gut metagenome. It matches the Rfam family "tRNA". Rfam says of the family: Transfer RNA (tRNA) molecules are approximately 80 nucleotides in length. Their secondary structure includes four short double-helical elements and three loops (D, anti-codon, and T loops). The record is from RNAcentral.
AGUGUAGCUCAGUUGGUAGAGCGCCGUGCUGAUAACGCGGAAGUCGUAGGUUCAAACCCUACCAUUU